UCAGCCCGCCGCGACGCCCCCCACUUAUGCCCCCACAAAUGCCCCACCCCAUCGGAUGAAACCCUAGUAAAACCCAUUUUUUCAGUCCACACUUAUCUUAUCCGUUUCCCUUGACUCCUCCGAUUCAUCCCAAACCCUUCCCCUCCUAUCAGCCAUGGCCAACUUCUGUCAGGACUCCGGUAGAGGCCGCCCCAUGGACUGGACGGUCUAGUGAAGGAGGAAUCUGACGAGGAGGCGCUCGCGCUCCGCAUCGCCAUCCAGCGGUCGCGCGUCGACAUCGGCGGGGCUCCAUCGCGCCCACAACAAGCUCCUCCUCAUCCCUCCGGCAGAAUGCUAGCCGCGCCCACCCUUCUAGCUCCGCGGAAUGCCAACCACACCUGCCCGUCCCGUGCUCGCCCUUCUAUCUUCGCGCUGCUCUAGAUCCGAAACAGGUUCUCCCCUUCCCCUCUGGCGCUAGCACCGCCCAGCCAACGGUGGGUGCUCGUGCCCGCAACUCUCAGGUGUUCAUUUUAGGUUCAAUUUGGACUAUCUCGGCCCUUUUGGAUGAACUAAUUGCAUGUCUGAUGUCCGAAUUGCUCAAGUUUUAUGCUAUUUAUAUGGUCUACGUAGACUGCAUGGUUUUGUAUGAAAUAGGGUAUCUGAAUUUGAUGUUUGUGAUUGUGGAUAGGGAAAAUUGGCUACUAUUCGGGUACUGCCAGCGGACACGCCUGCAGGUGUAUAUAGCACCAAAUUAGGUAAUCCUGGUUGUAGAUACUCUCAUGAAACUCAUGACGGAGGUUGCUCUCGUUUGAUUGGCACCACCUCUUCUCAAAAUCUGGGAAUUAUUUUUGUGUUUUUGUUUGUUUGAUCAUGGAUCUUUGGAACACCUCUACGCUAAGCUAGCGUGUUCCUUGUUAGAGUUUUCUUCUAGAGAAUGUUGUAUUAAUCAAUCAAUCAAAUUACACAGAGUUCCUGAGAUACAAUCUGGGACAUAUAAAAAAAACUAAGACUUAUAGAGUACAUACACGAUUUAGCUAAUAAAUGAGCCGCUACAUUACAAUGCCGACAAACAUGCUUGAACAUCAUAGAAGCAAAGCCACUAGAGAUGAGGUUAAUGUCAGCAACCACCGCACCAAUUGGAGAACGAUCUAAAGCUGAAGAGUUUAGCCUCUGUACCAAGGAAAGACAAUUGGAGGCAAAGAUAGUAUCUGAAAUUUCUUCAUUCCGUGCCAACUGAACAACGCACCGAAGGAUACAUCCCAAAUAUCUCUAGCAUAUGGGCAAAAAAGUAGAGCUUGCACAACAGAUUCGAACCAGGCACAAAAACAAGAAAGCUCGGAUGUAGGUACAUGACGGUGCAAAAAGUGAGAACCACCAGGCCUUGGAGGACAAGCUCGCUGUGUGAAUCCACGAUGUCCUCUAGAUUGCCAAAUUGAACAAUAUGGUCUAGAGUGUGGUUCUCGACUUGGCGAUGUGGUUGGUCGAGUCGGCGACAAAAGUCAUGGCGCCAAAGACGAAGAGCUGACCUAACACGUAGAUCGUGUCAUCAUCUGAUCUGUGAGUUCACCACGUGGGGCUUGUAUGGGUCACUGAUGUCCUACAAGUGCACAACGUUUAGUUGUAGCUUUUUCAAAGUAAGAGUAUCAAUCCCACACGGAGCACAUGAAUCAACCUUUUGUCUCUUGAAUGGUUCGAGUAGAAUGCCUGCAAAUUUUUAGCGAUCCAAA
Long non-coding RNA from Triticum aestivum (bread wheat), 1706 nucleotides. RefSeq lists it as uncharacterized. NCBI's taxonomy places the organism in Eukaryota, Viridiplantae, Streptophyta, Magnoliopsida, Poales, Poaceae. The transcript is spliced from 2 exons. The record is from RefSeq and is a predicted model, not a curated record.